GGUCAGAACGAACGCUGGCGGCGCGUUUAAGCAUGCAAGUCGCAGGGUAAAAUUUAGCAAUAGAAUGAGACUGGCGAACGGGUGAGUAACACGUGAAAAUCUACCUGAGAUGGGGGGAUAGCCGGUAGAAAUAUCGGGUAAUACCGCAUAUGCCGAGAGGUGAAAGGGGCAACUGCUCCGUCUUGAGAUGAGUUUGCGUCUGAUUAGAUAGUUGGCGAGGUAAAGGCUCACCAAGUCUACGAUCAGUAGCCGGCCUGAGAGGGUGAUCGGCCACAUUGGGACUGAGACACGGCCCAGACUCCUACGGGAGGCAGCAGCUAAGAAUAUUCCGCAAUGGGAGAAAUCCUGACGGAGCGACGCCGCGUGAACGAUUGAAGGCCAGAAAUGUUGUAAAGUUCUUUUAUUAGGGAAGAAUAAGGCUGGUAGUGGAAAGAUCAGUCGAUGACGGUACCUAAUGAAUAAGCCACGGCUAACUGCGUGCCAGCCGCUGC
This 491-nucleotide ribosomal RNA is filed under the name uncultured bacterium. RNAcentral's name for it is "bacterial SSU rRNA". It matches the Rfam family "Bacterial small subunit ribosomal RNA", at positions 22 to 518 of the family's 1533-position model. The record is from RNAcentral.